This 392-nucleotide ribosomal RNA is filed under the name uncultured bacterium. RNAcentral describes it as "partial 16S ribosomal RNA". It matches the Rfam family "Bacterial small subunit ribosomal RNA", at positions 523 to 918 of the family's 1533-position model. The record is from RNAcentral.
AUACGGAGGAUCCGAGCGUUAUCCGGAUUUAUUGGGGUUAAAGGGUGCGCAGGCGGCCAUUUAAGUCAGCGGUUAAAUCGUGGGGCUCAACCCCAUUCUGCCGUUGAUACUGGGUGGCUUGAUUGCGGUCGAGGUUGGCGGAAUUCGUUGUGUAGCGGUGAAAUGCAUAGAUAUGACGAAGAACACCGAUUGCGUAGGCAGCUGACCAGACCGCAAAUGACGCUCAUGCACGAAAGUGCGGGGAUCGAACAGGAUUAGAUACCCUGGUAGUCCGCACAGUAAACGAUGAAUACUUGUUUUCGGCGAUAUAAUGUCGGAGGCAAAGCGAAAGCGAUAAGUAUUCCACCUGGGGAGUACGCCGGCAACGGUGAAACUCAAAGGAAUUGACGGGG